This 77-nucleotide transfer RNA is filed under the name Rhodospirillaceae bacterium BRH_c57. RNAcentral describes it as "tRNA-Arg". It matches the Rfam family "tRNA". Rfam says of the family: Transfer RNA (tRNA) molecules are approximately 80 nucleotides in length. Their secondary structure includes four short double-helical elements and three loops (D, anti-codon, and T loops). The record is from RNAcentral. Lineage: Bacteria; Pseudomonadati; Pseudomonadota; Alphaproteobacteria; Rhodospirillales; Rhodospirillaceae. RNAcentral also lists the same sequence under 2 other names.
GCACCCGUAGCUCAGCUGGAUAGAGUACUGCCCUCCGAAGGCAGGGGUCACAAGUUCGAAUCUUGUCGGGUGCACCA